CUCCGCCGGCGACCGGCGCACGGGUGAGUAACGCGUAUGCAACCUGCCCGUUUCAGCGGGAUAACCCGGAGAAAUCCGGCCUAAUACCGCAUGUGGCCGAGGGGAGGCAUCUUCUUUCGGCCAAAGGAGGCAACUCCGGAGACGGAUGGGCAUACGUGGCAUUAGCUUGUUGGCGGGGUAACGGCCCACCAAGGCGACGAUGUCUAGGGGUUCUGAGAGGAAGGUCCCCCACACUGGUACUGAGACACGGACCAGACUCCUACGGAAGGCAGCAG
This 275-nucleotide ribosomal RNA is filed under the name uncultured bacterium. RNAcentral's name for it is "partial 16S ribosomal RNA". It matches the Rfam family "Bacterial small subunit ribosomal RNA", at positions 83 to 354 of the family's 1533-position model. The record is from RNAcentral.